UUCCCAGUAGCGCUAUGCAUAGCGCCUUGGACUUCUAAUCCUAAGGUCGUGGAUCCGAAUCCCACCUGGGAUG
Non-coding RNA from Trichonephila clavata, 73 nucleotides. The record is from the annotation of a GenBank genome assembly. Lineage: Eukaryota; Metazoa; Arthropoda; Arachnida; Araneae; Nephilidae.